CGAACGGUGACGAGGAGCUUGCUCCUCUGAUCAGUGGCGAACGGGUGAGUAACACGUGAGCAACCAGCCCCAGACUCUGGGAUAACAGUUGGAAACAGCUGCUAAUACCGGAUACGAGACGGAGAGGCAUCUCUACCGUCUGGAAAGUUUUUCGGUCUGGGAUGGACUCGCGGCCUAUCAGCUAGUUGGUGAGGUAAUGGCUCACCAAGGCGACGACGGGUAGCCGGCCUGAGAGGGCGACCGGCCACACUGGGACUGAGACACGGCCCAGACUCCUACGGGAGGCAGCAGUGGGGAAUAUUGCACAAUGGGCGAAAGCCUGAUGCAGCGACGCCGCGUGAGGGAUGAAGGCCUUCGGGUUGUAAACCUCUUUCAGCAGGGAAGAAGCGAAAGUGACGGUACCUGCAGAAGAAGCACCGGCUAACUACGUGCCAGCAGCCGCGGUAAUACGUAGGGUGCGAGCGUUGUCCGGAAUUAUUGGGCGUAAAGAGCUUGUAGGCGGUUUGUCGCGUCUGCAGUGAAAAUCCGAGGCUCAACCCCGGACUUGCUGUGGGUACGGGCAGACUAGAGUAUGGUAGGGGAGACCGGAAUUCCUGGUGUAGCGGUGGAAUGCGCAGAUAUCAGGAGGAACGCCGAUGGCGAAGGCAGGUCUCUGGGCCAUAACUGACGCUGAGAAGCGAAAGCAUGGGGAGCGAACAGGAUUAGAUACCCUGGUAGUCCAUGCCGUAAACGUUGGGCGCUAGGUGUGGGACUCAUUCCACGAGUUCCGUGCCGCAGCUAACGCAUUAAGCGCCCCGCCUGGGGAGUACGGCCGCAAGGCUAAAACUCAAAGGAAUUGACGGGGGCCCGCACAAGCGGCGGAGCAUGCGGAUUAAUUCGAUGCAACGCGAAGAACCUUACCAAGGCUUGACAUAUACCGGAAACAUCCAGAGAUGGGUGCCCCGCAAGGUCGGUAUACAGGUGGUGCAUGGUUGUCGUCAGCUCGUGUCGUGAGAUGUUGGGUUAAGUCCCGCAACGAGCGCAACCCUCGUUCUAUGUUGCCAGCGCGUAAUGGCGGGGACUCAUAGGAGACUGCCGGGGUCAACUCGGAGGAAGGUGGGGAUGACGUCAAAUCAUCAUGCCCCUUAUGUCUUGGGCUUCACGCAUGCUACAAUGGCCGGUACAAAGGGCUGCGAUACCGCGAGGUGGAGCGAAUCCCC
Molecule: ribosomal RNA, 1199 nt
Filed under: metagenome
Description: bacterial SSU rRNA
Rfam family: Bacterial small subunit ribosomal RNA
Source: RNAcentral